CGCAGGAAUCGACGGAACCCUUCGGGGGGAAGUCGACGGAAUGAGCGGCGGACGGGUGAGUAACACGUAAAGAACCUGCCCUCAGGUCUGGGAUAACCACGAGAAAUCGGGGCUAAUACCGGAUGGGUCAUCGGACCGCAUGGUCCGAGGAUGAAAGGCGCUUCGGCGUCGCCUGGGGAUGGCUUUGCGGUGCAUUAGCUAGUUGGUGGGGUAAUGGCCCACCAAGGCGACGAUGCAUAGCCGACCUGAGAGGGUGAUCGGCCACACUGGGACUGAGACACGGCCCAGACUCCUACGGGAGGCAGCAGUAGGGAAUCUUCCACAAUGGACGAAAGUCUGAUGGAGCAACGCCGCGUGAACGAUGAAGGCCUUCGGGUCGUAAAGUUCUGUUGUAAGGGAAGAACAAGUGCCGCAGGCAAUGGCGGCACCUUGACGGUACCUUGCGAGAAAGCCACGGCUAACUACGUGCCAGCAGCCGCGGUAAUACGUAGGUGGCAAGCGUUGUCCGGAAUUAUUGGGCGUAAAGCGCGCGCAGGCGGCCUCUUAAGUCUGAUGUGAAAGCCCCCGGCUCAACCGGGGAGGGCCAUUGGAAACUGGGAGGCUUGAGUAUAGGAGAGAAGAGUGGAAUUCCACGUGUAGCGGUGAAAUGCGUAGAGAUGUGGAGGAACACCAGUGGCGAAGGCGACU
Molecule: ribosomal RNA, 687 nt
Filed under: Exiguobacterium sp.
Lineage: Bacteria; Bacillati; Bacillota; Bacilli; Caryophanales
Description: bacterial SSU rRNA
Rfam family: Bacterial small subunit ribosomal RNA
Source: RNAcentral